ACGAAGGGGGCAAGCGUUGUUCGGAUUUAUUGGGCGUAAAGGGCGUCUAGGUGGUUAAUUAAGUCGGAUGUGAAAUCCUUCAGCUCAACUGAAGAACUGCAUCCGAUACUGAUUAGCUUGAGUAUAGGAGAAGGGAGUGGAAUUCUCAGUGUAGCGGUGAAAUGCGUAGAUAUUGAGAAGAACACCGGUGGCGAAGGCGGCUCUCUAGCCUAAAACUGACACUAAAGCGCGAAAGCCAGGGGAGCGAACGG
This 251-nucleotide ribosomal RNA is filed under the name uncultured prokaryote. RNAcentral's name for it is "partial 16S rRNA". It matches the Rfam family "Bacterial small subunit ribosomal RNA", at positions 525 to 775 of the family's 1533-position model. The record is from RNAcentral.